Molecule: ribosomal RNA, 301 nt
Filed under: uncultured bacterium
Lineage: Bacteria
Description: partial 16S ribosomal RNA
Rfam family: Bacterial small subunit ribosomal RNA
Source: RNAcentral
CAGUCGCCGCGGGAAUACGUAGGUCCCGAGCGUUGUCCGGAUUUAUUGGGCGUAAAGCGAGCGCAGGCGGUUAGAUAAGUCUGAAGUUAAAGGCUGUGGCUUAACCAUAGUAUGCUUUGGAAACUGUUUAACUUGAGUGCAGAAGGGGAGAGUGGAAUUCCAUGUGUAGCGGUGAAAUGCGUAGAUAUAUGGAGGAACACCGGUGGCGAAAGCGGCUCUCUGGUCUGUAACUGACGCUGAGGCUCGAAAGCGUGGGGAGCAAACAGGAUUAGAUACCCGCGUAGUCCCUGUCUCUUAUACA